Molecule: long non-coding RNA, 2000 nt
Organism: Ostrea edulis (European flat oyster)
Lineage: Eukaryota; Metazoa; Mollusca; Bivalvia; Ostreida; Ostreidae
Exons: 3
Source: RefSeq, a predicted model, not a curated record
UCUGUAUACAUAAAAUACUAUUUCCCGACGAGAAAAAGAAAGACACUUUAUUAAGACUUUAAGGUAGCGACGGAUAGCAACCACGUGAUCAGUAAAAAUUGUGUAUUUUCACGUGAAUUCAUUUUCCGGAAUUCCUUACUCCGUCAUAGAAUAGUCGAAAAACAAAAAGGGGUUCCGAAAGUUUUUUGUUGCUGUGACUGACUCGCCAAGAGAAAAUAUGCACAUACCACAUAUUAGUAUACGUCAAUAUCUGUAAUAAUGGUAGAUCAAAUGUUUCAUCUGUGUGAAACUUUUUGCUAAUCGAAAUGUUAAACCAACCACCAAUCCAUGUACAUAGAUGCGCUACGUAAACAAAGUUGUUGGUUGAUACAUCGUAAUGUCCGAGUGCAGCAUGCUGCGAGAUUGAAUACUGUUUAUAGAGUCAUUGAGAGGCUAAACAAAGUUCCUUGCAAGAAGAGGAAGUUGGUGGAUGCAUUCAACUUGGACAACGAAAUCAUAGUUUCGUUUGACAUCAGCCUGAAGACCAAGGGAGGUUAGAUAGGACCAGUGCAGGUUGAAGUGGAUUUCGAGUCAACAAGUAUAACAGCAAGAGAGGUACUCCAUUUACAGUGAUGAUGACAUAUCCCCUGGACCCCCACAACUCCACAAAUUUAAAAAUGUUUGAUCAAAAGAUUAAAGAACUACUGCAAAAUUUGGGACUUGGAUGAAAAACAUGAAUUCACUUAUAUGAGCUCAGAGCAGUGGAUGUUGUACAGCAUACUUUAAACUAAAUUGUGAAUUUGAGGGAAAACAAGUACAUGUACUCGUGUAUUACAUGUACAUGCCUUUUGAAAGACAAUGAUAUUGCAUAGAUGUAAAGGAGAUUUCAAUGUUGAUUAUUCUUUCUUAGAUAUAUUAGUAAAAAAUGUGCACAUGAUAGAAUAUCAAUUUUAUAACUUCAAUCAAUGUGUUUGAAUUUUCCUUGUAAUUCAAAAUUUAGUUGAAACAUACAUCAUUGAUACAUUAAUGUAUAUCAAAUUUUUAGAAAAGUUUCAUAAUGGAACUAAUUCACCCCCCCCCCCCCCCCCCCCCCCCCCCCCCCCCUUAUACAUACAGUGAACAUAGACCUUCACCUGGGGAAAACCACAGUUAGUUAAUGCAAUAUACAUGUACAUGCAUUCUCAGUUAUCCAAUAGUGAGUUUUUGGUUCAUUGUGAAACUACAAUUAGAAAUCUUAAACUUAUGAAAGACACACCUAUCUGUGAGGGUAAGAUGACUCAGAUGGACUUACAUGUAGUGAUCCAUGGGCAGUCCAUGGGUCUCUUUCCAUUGCUAUUAAUUAUUUAUUGAAAUAUGAAAUGGUUAUUUAAACAUAUUUGGUGUAUUAUACUGUAUAGUGAUAUAAAUUUCUAUCAAAAAAUAUGUAUAGGCAAUAGAUUUGGUCCAGUUAUUACAAGAAAUUGUAUGAAAAAUAACUAAAUAUUUAGGCAAUCAUUGUGAGUGCGAAAAGGUCAACUGCAAUAGCACACACUAUAUAUCAUUCUUAAAUGGCUCAUAGAAACUUCUAGUAUUGUGAGUUUGAAUGCUCAAUGUGGUAAUUUGGAAAUGCUUAAUCAUUUAAGGUCAAUAGUUUAUCUCAGCUGACUAUCUCUUAAAAUUCAUUUCUAGAAGGGAGGGGGUAGGGUUACAAAAUCUGACAUAGUUUCAGAUUAAACCUCAUUUGGUAUAUUUUUUUCUAUUCAAUAUUUUAGAUACUACUUGACUUAUUGUAAAAAUGAAAUAAAAUCAGAAAUUUUAUGAGCAGAAUUUUGUUGUUGUCAGAAAAUGUAUGCCUGAUAGUAUUUGAGAAAUGUCAUAUUUAGGGUAAAUUUGGCCAAUUGCCAAGUUGAAUCAUCCCAAUGUUUUCCUUAGAUGCAUUUUGAAUUUUUAAUCAAUGUUGAUUUUUUUUAUCUGUUUGUGUUUAAUUUACAUAACUAUAUAUGACAAACAAUAUUUCUGGUGUCAAUAAAAAUUUUAUUGGC